UACAGAGGUGGCAAGCGUUGCUCGAUAUCACUGGGCUUAAAGGGCGCGUAGGCGGUGCGGUGCGGUUUCGGUGAAAUCCCUCGGCCCAACCGAGGAACAGCCGGGGCUACGGCCGCGCUAGACGGCAUCAGGGGACAGUGGAACUCCCGGUGGAGCGGUGAAAUGCGUAGAUAUCGGGAGGAACGCCGGUGGCGAAAGCGACUGUCUGGGGUGCCUGUGACGCUGAGGCGCGAAAGCCAGGGGAUCAAACGGG
RNAcentral lists this ribosomal RNA (253 nucleotides) under uncultured bacterium. RNAcentral describes it as "partial 16S ribosomal RNA". It matches the Rfam family "Bacterial small subunit ribosomal RNA", at positions 524 to 776 of the family's 1533-position model. The record is from RNAcentral.